RNAcentral lists this ribosomal RNA (450 nucleotides) under uncultured bacterium. RNAcentral describes it as "bacterial SSU rRNA". It matches the Rfam family "Bacterial small subunit ribosomal RNA", at positions 354 to 796 of the family's 1533-position model. The record is from RNAcentral.
GUGGGGAAUUUUGGACAAUGGGCGCAAGCCUGAUCCAGCCAUGCCGCGUGCAGGAUGAAGGCCUUCGGGUUGUAAACUGCUUUUGUACGGAACGAAACGGCCCUUUCUAAUAAAGAGGGCUAAUGACGGUACCGUAAGAAUAAGCACCGGCUAACUACGUGCCAGCAGCCGCGGUAAUACGUAGGGUGCGAGCGUUAAUCGGAAUUACUGGGCGUAAAGCGUGCGCAGGCGGUGAUGUAAGACAGAUGUGAAAUCCACGGGCUCAACCUGGGAACUGCAUUUGUGACUGCAUCGCUGGAGUGCGGCAGAGGGGGAUGGAAUUCCGCGUGUAGCAGUGAAAUGCGUAGAUAUGCGGAGGAACACCGAUGGCGAAGGCAAUCCCCUGGGCCUGCACUGACGCUCAUGCACGAAAGCGUGGGGAGCAAACAGGAUUAGAAACCCCAGUAGUCC